AGAGUUUCAUCCUGGCUCAGACGAACGCUGGCGGCGUGCUUAACACAUGCAAGUCGAACGGAGAAUUUAUUUCGGUAAAUUCUUAGUGGCGAACGGGUGAGUAACGCGUGGGCAACCUGCCCUCCAGUUGGGGACAACAUUCCGAAAGGAUGCUAAUACCGAAUGUGAUCCCUUUUCCGCAUGGAGAAGGGAUGAAAGAUGGCCUCUAUUUAUAAUAUCGCUGGAAGAUGGGCCUGCGUCUGAUUAGCUAGUUGGUGGGGUAACGGCUCACCAAGGCGAUGAUCAGUAGCCGGUCUGAGAGGAUGAACGGCCACAUUGGGACUGAGACACGGCCCAAACUCCUACGGAGGCAGCAGUGGGGAAUCUUCCGCAAUGGACGAAAGUCUGACGGAGCAACGCCGCGUGAGUGAUGAAGGUCUUCUGAUUGUAAAACUCUGUUGUCAGGGACGAAUGUGCGAACGUUGAAUAAGCGUUUGUAUUGACGGUACCUGACGAGGAAGCCACGGCUAACUACGUGCCAGCAGCCGCGGUAAUACGUAGGUGGCAAGCGUUGUCCGGAAUUAUUGGGCGUAAAGAGCAUGUAGGCGGGCUUUUAAGUCCGACGUGAAAAUGCGGGGCUUAACCCCGUAUGGCGUUGGAUACUGGAAGUCUUGAGUGCAGGAGAGGAAAGGGGAAUUCCCAGUGUAGCGGUGAAACGCGUAGAUAUUGGGAGGAACACCAGUGGCGAAGGCGCCUUUCUGGACUGUGUCUGACGCUGAGAUGCG
This 764-nucleotide ribosomal RNA is filed under the name uncultured bacterium. RNAcentral's name for it is "bacterial SSU rRNA". It matches the Rfam family "Bacterial small subunit ribosomal RNA", at positions 8 to 755 of the family's 1533-position model. The record is from RNAcentral.